CAGCCUUCCAGGGCUAAAUAACUGGGAAACAUUUCCCUCCUGCUGAGCUCCAACAUGUGCCAGACUUUUAAUUUCCUUUGAAAGGGCUGGGCAUCAUCUUCCUCCCGGACGGCGCUGGGUUCCUGGGAGCGUGGAUACUCCUGAUUGACCAUCACAUCACAUAAAAGAACACAAAACAAUCUGAAAGUCAACCAAGGAAACAGUAAUCAAGAAUAAUUCUGAGUAGAUGCAAUUUCUACUUUAUGCAUGACUGUAAACCUUCACUUCAUUGAACUAGACCAGCCACCAGUAAGAAGCCCUGUGACCUUGCUGAGACCCUGAAGAGACCACAUGGAGGGGCCACUUGAAGGCAAGGGGUCCUGACUCUACAAUGGAAAGAGAAGCCCAGUCAUCCCUGUUUCCCAGCUGAGUCUUGACCAGAUAACUUGCCACAAGACUGACUACAGGCGAGAAUAGCAGAAGAGCUGCCCAGCUGAGCCCAUCCUAGAUUAUAGAAUUUCAAGCAAGUAAAAUGACUCAUGUUGUAAGCCAC
Sapajus apella (tufted capuchin) is the source of this 532-nucleotide long non-coding RNA. RefSeq lists it as uncharacterized. The record is from RefSeq and is a predicted model, not a curated record. The transcript has 3 exons. NCBI's taxonomy places the organism in Eukaryota, Metazoa, Chordata, Mammalia, Primates, Cebidae.